Carya illinoinensis is the source of this 3086-nucleotide RNA transcript. RefSeq lists it as uncharacterized. The record is from RefSeq and is a predicted model, not a curated record. The transcript has 9 exons. NCBI's taxonomy places the organism in Eukaryota, Viridiplantae, Streptophyta, Magnoliopsida, Fagales, Juglandaceae.
CUCCAUCUGUUAAAUCACGUAAUUCCAAAAUCUCCGCUUGCUCUCACCGACUGAAAUGUGGAAACUAAAUAUUUUCUUCCACUUCUGCUCUUCUCCAUUCUCACUUCUCUCACAGAAAAAUCUCUGUAUGUUUCGAAUUGCUCCGCCGGAUAGCUUAUCUCUCAUAGCUUGUCUCUCUGUUUUGUCUUUUGGUUUUGGCAGGCUUGUGAAUGUAUUCCUGGGUUCGACGGAAACCACUUCUUCAUGAUCGACGGCAGCCAGCUCAACGGAAACUUGUCUCUGUUUUUUUUCCUUUGUUUUUUUGUCUAAUCUGCUUGUGAUCUGAUGCUCAGAGACAAAUGAAAACGCAAGACAAUAUGAAAAAUCCUUAUACACGAGGAGAUCAAUAAUUACAAUGCAAGCAUUCUUUGUUUUCAGUACAAGUUUUUAUGUUGAUGGUCAAUGGCGAUAUGAUGAAUCCCAACAUCAUGAGAGUGGCGAAUAUAGUAUCGUCAACACAUUACUUUUGGGUAUGGAUUACAUGGAUGUUGAUAAUGAAGCCUUUCGGCGUAUGACUGUUACAAUGCAGGCCUGAGUCGCAGAUGGUCCACCGACCGAAGUGGUGCUAGGUCGAUCAACGCUGAUUUAUAGGCCUAUCCCAUCAACGUAUUUUUGUAUUAUUCUCUGCUUACGUACACUGCCAAUGAGUUACUUCUUGACCCAGGCAAGGUUUGGAUGCUUGACCAUUUGCUUUCAUUUGAGAGGCUCAAGUUCCUGUCUUUCUAAUGGUAACGUGAAUCAAUUUCAAAUCCGGAAACAUUUUGCUUACAUGUUGCCCUAGAUGUUGAUUUACCUGUGAAGCAAGCAUUUAAUAUACUGCAUGAACAGGUAUUUUUUUUCAAGAUUGAAAAUAAGUUGAAAUUGCUUUUGCUUAGUUUGGAAUAUUCUUUUAAGAAAAUGUGAUUUGUUAUUGAUAAAGGAAAAUAAUUAUUAAUCGAUAAAAAGGGAAAAAUAGUUGUUCAAAAAUUUAUUCUCUCUUUCCAUCAAACCAAUGUGCAUUGAUUAUCUCAAGUGGAAGAGAAUGGCGAAAAUAUCUUAAGUAAAUCUAUAGUGUUUUAAAUAGCAUUCACUUUCUAUUAAGCAUUUUGGCAUAUGGUGAGUUCUUUUGCUUUUGGACACCUAAAUCAUACAUAGGUGUUGCUCUUGUAUAAUUAAACCCAAGUGCUGGUACAAUAAUGAAAAUAAUCAGCGUGUAUGCAUGUGCAUGCAUGUGUUAAUUGGUGUGAAUGAAUUCGCUUCUGUCGAUUUAUGUUGGAUUCUGGUAUGUGAUCGGUAAGCUAAUGGUUCUGGUUGAUGGGCUGCUACAUUGUUGAUCCAGACUGGCAUUGUUUUAAUCUUAUCAAUUUUGCAAAUGAUCUGGCAGGAGUUAAAGUUCACCAUCGCCUUCGUAACGUAGUUGAAGACACUGAUAUGCUUGAGAAUAUUGAAAUUGGAGAGCAGAAGCGACAAGAUGAGGCAUGCAAGGCUGCGAAGAAGAAAACAGGGAUCUAUGAUGAUAAGUAGGAUGAAUGUUCGGAUCAAUACUUUAUUCCAAUGGCCAGUUGUAAUAGAACUUAAAUGGAUCUAGUAUCCAUGACUUUCUUCUAUCAAUUGUUAAUUAUGCUUUGGUGUUUCUCUUGUGACCCGUGUACAUGGGCUAUACUUGUUGCAAUCAUUAAAGUUUCUUACUUACCUAUAAAAAAUAUUUUCGUGAUGUCUUAUCAUUCAUAAUCUUACCAAAAAUAGCUAAUGACACGUUUCUUGUGGGACUUUAGAUUUAAUGAUGAAGCCUGAUCAGAGAAGAAAAUCCUGCCACGGGAUGUUGAUCCCACUGCAGAUGAGGGACUAGCUCUGGAUGAAAGUGGACAUUUCUCUGGUGACGUAGAGAAGAAGCUCCAAGAGGUCCGUAAGAAGAUAGAGGGUUCUUCCACAAAUAAUCACUUUGAGGAUCUCAACUCAUUUGAGAAGAUCUCAUCAGAUUACUCUACUCCACAAAAAAUGCUUCAAUUUAAAAAGCCUAAGAAAAAGAAAUCCUUGUAGAAGGAAGAGGAGCUGGAUUUAGAUGUCCUUGAAGCAGAGGCUCUUAUCUGCUGGUCUGGGUGUUGGGGAUCUUGGUUCCCAGAAGGAUGAAAGGAGGCAAGCCACAAGAGAGGAGCAAGAAAGAGCUGAGGCUGAAUUGAGAAAACAUGCAUACCAGUCAGCCUGUGCAAAAGCUAAUGAGGCAUCGCAAUGAUAAUGGCAGCACAAAAUGAUGCAUUACUGGAAGAGAUAAUUGGAAGUAGUUUUGGAUCAGCUUCAAGCAGUUCUACUGAUCCGAUCAUAAAAAUAUAUGAAAUCACAGAAAGACUGAUAAUUGCUCCGACAAUGACGAAAUCCACAUUUUUGGUUAAAGGCAAAUUUAGAAUGGUUGAUUUUCAUCAAUCAUUCCAUUACAUGUCAUGCAAGAAUUGCAAUAAAGUAGUUGGCUACAGCGCGGCGAAAACUUCCUGUGUUAUAGUUGCAAGAAUAUGACGAUUGCACAACCAAGAUUUUUUUCAUGAGUAUUCAGUGGCUUGGUCUAUUGAGAAGCUGACUCACAAGGUGGUCGGAAGUUUCCAUGUGAGGUGAAGCUAGGCUAAGGGCGAAGAGAAUUUGCUCUGUUUUUUAUUUCCCGAAACAGAGAACACAGUGGAACCUAUCUUACGGUAUUAUGGUUGCUACGGUUUGCCAUUGAUUGCUCAUCUAUGGAGGAGAUGCUCAUAGUGUAGAGGAUGUUGCUCGGUUUUGGUUUCUCACGUUGUGUUUCUUUCAUUUAGAAGCAUGCAAGGGAUUAUUUUUGGCAGAAUAGUUUAAAGAAAUGGAAGUAGGAAUAGAAAAUAGUGGCCAAAGGUUCUUGUGGGUGGUAAGAAAUCCACCACCAAAGGAGUAUGAGCUUGCCAAGCUCUACUGCAGUCAGGUGGCUUCCGCCUGCACAGGGGUAUAGAACUACGACAUCGUCCAUGUUGCGUUGGGAGAAACAAAGCAGUAGCGUGGAGAGAGAAUGGAGGGAAGAGAGGAAUUUGAAGUGAAGAAGAUAAAGAGAGAGAUGC